This 437-nucleotide ribosomal RNA is filed under the name uncultured bacterium. RNAcentral describes it as "bacterial SSU rRNA". It matches the Rfam family "Bacterial small subunit ribosomal RNA", at positions 8 to 477 of the family's 1533-position model. The record is from RNAcentral.
AGAGUUUGAUCCUGGCUCAGAAUCAACGCUGGCGGCGUGCCUAACACAUGCAAGUCGAACGAGAAAGGGGAGCAAUCCCUGAGUACAGUGGCGCACGGGUGAGUAACACGUGACUAACCUACCCUGGAGCGGGGAAUAACUGAGGGAAACCUUAGCUAAUACCGCAUAAUACCUACGGGUCAAAGGAGCAAUUCGCUUCAGGAGGGGGUCGCGGCCGAUUAGCUAGUUGGCGGGGUAAUGGCCCACCAAGGCAAUGAUCGGUAUCCGGCCUGAGAGGGCGCACGGACACACUGGAACUGAAACACGGUCCAGACUCCUACGGGAGGCAGCAGUGGGGAAUUUUGCGCAAUGGGGGAAACCCUGACGCAGCAACGCCGCGUGGAGGAUGAAAUCCCUUGGGAUGUAAACUCCUUUCGAUCGGGACGAUUAUGACGGUA